Long non-coding RNA from Ailuropoda melanoleuca (giant panda), 793 nucleotides. RefSeq lists it as uncharacterized. NCBI's taxonomy places the organism in Eukaryota, Metazoa, Chordata, Mammalia, Carnivora, Ursidae. The record is from RefSeq and is a predicted model, not a curated record. The transcript is spliced from 4 exons.
ACAGAGAGGACCUUGUUUUUUUACAUUGGAGAAGGAAGCUUGUUUACAAGGUCACAUCUUAAGCCAUCUCCGAACUGAACAUGGAAAAAACAUCUUAAGUUCCUGAGCAGCGGUGAAAAUGAGGUUUGAUGAUGAAGCUUGAAGAAGGGAGAAGGGCUGGGAGAAAUAUGGAACAGCUGGGACAGGCCGGAGAGAAAGAACAAAGUUGCAGUGACCCCGAUUCAGCUCAGGACCCGCUUAGAGAGUCACCUGGGACACAUCGAUGUCAGCACAUACAGCCCGGAAACCAGAGCUGCCGAAAGCUCUUCCUUCUCUCUCUUCCUUGAGCCAGCUCAGAUGACCGCCGCCCUCCUUGAAGUGGCCAUAGCAGGGGUGAAUCUGGAUUCGACCUUGAAGGGGAGACAUGAUCCAGAUCAUAUAACAGCGGAUGUACCACCAAGGGAGAGAGAGCAGAUGGAGAAGAGAGCAGGUCCUGCCUUUCAGAAUCGAUUUAGGCAGGUCACUUAAUCCCUUUAAUCUGAUUUCAUUAUCUAUAAAAUGAGGUUAAUAGUAACAAAUUUCAGCCUGGUUGUUUUUGGGGAAAAAAUAAGGUAGCCUCUGAGAAAGCUCCUAACCCAGUGCUCGGCACUUAGUAGGAACACUCUCCAAAUGUUUGCCAGGCCAUUUGCUUCUCUUUCUCUCCCCUGCCUUACUCUGCUUGAACCCUAGCUGAGGCCCCUUUCCUAGGCUGCACUGCAUUUCCUACCCUACAAAGCUGCCAGGGACCCGAUGGAACUGAAUGGCUUCCCCCUCA